GGGGACGAUGCUCAGUAGUUCACUGAGCAUCGUCCCAAAGUUUGCGCAUGCGCGCAUCGGUUGUGAGCUAUAACCAAGAAGUUCUAGUCUUCUUGGUGGCUAUAAUCUUAACGUAACAUUGUCACUUGCAAAUAAAACAGAAUUCGGAAAUCCAAUCAAGGAGUAAACAGCAGAAGAAAAAAAAGAAUAAUAUUAUUAACGUUUGAAGGAGUUUUAAAGGCAUAUUUUCGUUGUCGUUGGAAUAACAUAUAUUGAAAUAUGUAUGAUUCGAAGGAAAGCGGUUUGUUUUUGCGUAUAAAGGAAAACUCCAAGAAUAUUGAACUGCCAGGUACAGAUUGGACUAUGAUCAUACAAAAUCAUUGCAUUGCAUUCAUUCGAUCAGAAGAUGACCUCACAACCUUCUUGAUAGUUGUUCUCGACGUUAAUAUGAAUGUAAAAGUUUAUCAUCGCAACGAGGAAUUAACCUGGAUGCAGUGGGAUCAGCCAACUUCUGAAACCUAUGUAUCAAGAAUGCUUGAAAUUUUAAACAAAAGCAUAAUUUCUUUUUCGAAGUAUAAAAUUUAAAAAACUAUUCUAAAAAUUAAUUGUUUUAUAAGAUUCGUUUGCUGAAAUAAAUGUAACUGUAAUAAGCCCUCAA
This is a long non-coding RNA of Trachymyrmex cornetzi, 637 nucleotides long. RefSeq lists it as uncharacterized. The transcript has 2 exons. The record is from RefSeq and is a predicted model, not a curated record. NCBI's taxonomy places the organism in Eukaryota, Metazoa, Arthropoda, Insecta, Hymenoptera, Formicidae.